AUACGUAGGGAGCGAGCGUUGUCCGGAAUUACUGGGUGUAAAGGGAGCGUAGGCGGGAGUGCAAGUCAGAUGUGAAAUACAUGGGCUCAACCCAUGGGCUGCGUUUGAAACUGCAUUUCUUGAGUGAAGUAGAGGUAAGCGGAAUUCCUGGUGUAGCGGUGAAAUGCGUAGAUAUCAGGAGGAACACCGGUGGCGAAGGCGGCUUACUGGGCUUUUACUGACGCUGAGGCUCGAAAGCGUGGGGAGCAAACAGGAUUAGAUACCCUGGUAGUCCACGCUGUAAACGAUGAUUACUAGGUGUGGGGGGACUGACCCCUUCCGUGCCGCAGUUAACACAAUAAGUAAUCCACCUGGGGAGUACGGCCGCAAGGUUGAAACUCAAAUGAAUUGACGGGG
RNAcentral lists this ribosomal RNA (396 nucleotides) under uncultured bacterium. RNAcentral's name for it is "partial 16S ribosomal RNA". It matches the Rfam family "Bacterial small subunit ribosomal RNA", at positions 523 to 918 of the family's 1533-position model. The record is from RNAcentral.